This 17915-nucleotide long non-coding RNA is filed under the name Xyrichtys novacula (pearly razorfish). The record is from RNAcentral. Lineage: Eukaryota; Metazoa; Chordata; Actinopteri; Labriformes; Labridae.
AGAUCAAUCAUGUUCCUGUAUCAAAGUGCAGCACAUACAAAACUCUGCAGGAUUGUUGGUCUGCACAGGAUCCAUACUGUGUCUGGUGUGGCCCUGAAAACAGGUUAGAAACAUCAUCUGCAGUGAACAUCAGUGAAGGAAUUUAAAACUUGGAUUAGACUUACCUUUUUUCUUCUCCUAGCUGUACAUUUGAAGAAAACUGCCAAGGCUCAGACUGGUUGUCCAUUCCUGAUGAUUCUCAGCACAAAAUGGUUUCCUAUCAAGUUACGCAGGACCAGACUGGACAGGUAGAGAUUAGGGUUAGGUUCUGAGCUAUGAUGAGUUGUGGCUCUCUGAUAGUCGAUUGUUUAUUUACUCCAAUCUGGAUAUGUUUCAGAUCAAACUUAAACUCCACGUGCAUGUGACAGGGGGCAAAAUGGCGCUCUCUAACUUUGCCUGUCACUUCUCUACAAGUUCCACUGAGCACUUUGAAAUGAAAAUUCAGCGUCCACAUUUUCCACAUUGUUCUUCCACCCUUGAAUCAAGCACACUUCCUGCUGGAGGUCAGUCAUGAUAGAUAAUAAUAAUAUAAUAAAAAUUAUUUUAAUAUAAAGGUCUCAUAUUUAAUGAAUCUAUAUCAUGUCAGAGAUCUUAAAAUUCUGUCAAAUUUUCAAAAAUGAUAAAAAUUGUAAUACUCACAGAUUUUUUUCAUUAAAAAAGGACUGCCUAUUGUUGUAAAGAUCAGACUUGGUUCAUCACAGUUGACUGAGAGGCUGAACCUGCUCAACUGUACGGACAUCAGAGAACCAUCAACACCUGUCCUGUAAGUCCUCCACUGUUUUCUACUAAUCUAAAGUCCUUAUUUUGACCAGACUGGGAGAGCUAUCAAGAGAACAAAAUCUGGUUUCAUGUAAUACAAGGUGCAAAACAAAUACAGACUGUCACCACACUACCCCUCCACACUCUCUCUCUCUCUCUCUCUCUCUCUCUCUCUCUCUCUCUCUCUCUCCUCUCUCUCUCUCUCUCUCUCUCUCUCACACACACACACACACACACACACGCACGCACACACACACGCACACACACACACCUUAUUGUGUUUUCAUUUUCAUUUUUAAUUUUGUGGAUUGCAGUGUUUCCCCUCUUUCUUUAAUUGUAUUCUUACUUGUUGACCACAUGUCUGCGUUGCUAUCUUAUUUUAUCUCAUAAUAAUAGUUAAUAUGUAAACCUUAUUUUUAAAGUACCUUUAAAAACAAAUGCUUACAAGGUGUUCCCAUCUGUGAUGAGACCAAUUAGGAAUCAUUCAUUCAUUCAAGGUUUUCUCAGAGUUUAUUAGCACAUGAACACAGGUGGGAUCUUUUGACAUCCUGCAUGAAAGUCCACAGAGUAGUUCACUGAGAUUUCCAACUCAAAAAAUUGUACUUGAACUCGACCAAAUGAUGAUGCUGCUGCUCAAAAACUUCAUGUAAACUCGUCAUGUAAAAACUGUUUUGCUUUCAGGUGCCAAAAGUGUAUUAAUGCUGGAUGUGCCUGGACCGCAAGCGGCUGUUUUUGGGGAAAUCAAGGCGUCAGGAAUGUAAUUAUGCAUGUUUUUAUUCACUAGUAUAAAAAUGGCUUUUACUUGGUUUAGAUAAAAUGCCACUUUAAACUAUAAUUCAACAAUAUCAGCAGUACUACUUUGACUACCACCACUAAUAAGAAGUAGCAGCAGUAGUAGUUGUGUAUUUCUUUACUAGUAAAAGAAAAAGUCACUUUUGAGAAUAACCAAUCAGUCAAUCUUUUGUUUAUAUUCAUGAUAUUAUUUGCCGUUAUCUCAAGACAUUUUUCAAAGGAGCAAAUCUUGACCAUACUUUGUCUUGUGUUAUGUACAAAGAUCCAGCUCACUGUACGCGGAGUUCUGUGCAGCACUUAGCAACUAACAAAUACAAGAAAAAUUUCAUUUUCAUGGAAAGAUACCUAAAGUACAACAGGACUGAUCCAAUGACCCUAACCUAGCAUAUUUAUACCAUAGAUGAAGAGGUGAAGCUGAGGUGGUCAUACCCACCUACAUAUUAACACAGGUGUUAAAGGAAUUUCAUGGACUUUUUUUAAGCCAGCUUCUAGUAGACACUUGAGGAACUGCAGUUUUUAACACUUCUGAUCUGGCUUCAUAAUAAGAUGCCAGCGGUUGCUGCUUUUUCUUUUCUCUGCCUGGGUUUGGUUUAGUUCAGAUCAUAGGGGGCACAAGAUAUAGCAGGACACUUUGUAGCACAAGGCUGAAGCUGAUGGCAUGUCUCUACCCUGCUGUUGCUUAUUAGUAUAUUCAGCUAACUCUAUGCAAAAUGUGACAACAGCAUGUCAGCAUGUUUGAAACAUGGACAGUUAAAGACUGCAUGAUACCUGGUUGAAUAUUUUUAAGACAACUGAAGACACUAUUAUAGUUUUAUGACUAUUUCUCUCUCAAGCCACUGAACUUACUCCUCACUGCUCUUUCUGCAGGACAGUGUUUGCCAAAUGAUGAAGUCAUUCAUGGACUUCCCCGUGAGUCCACCAUUUUUGCUUGCAGACCUCAUUCACAUUCAGGAAAUCCAAAUAUUAGCAGGUGGUAGUGUAUAAAAUCUAAAUAAAACUGUUACCUUUUGUUGGUUUGACUGUCAGAGACCACAGAUAUCCUCUAUCACUCCCAGUGUUGUGUCUUUCCACGGCAAAAACCAUGCAGUGUUGUCUGGUAGUAACCUCAGUUCUGUGAUCAGAGUGAGGAUCCAGGCAGACCUGGACUUCACACCACAAGAGUGAGUCAGGUUAUGGGUGUAUUAAAACGUUGGACUCCAAUAACUGAAUUUUACAUAUUAUAAAAUGUUUUUUAUGAAUCUCACUGCUUCAGUUUGUCUUUGUCUCACUCUGUGCACUCUGGUUAGGUCUCCUGUUUGGAGCAACACUGGUGAAACUCUGACGUUCCACAUACCCAGUGCGAAAUUUAAAGGUGUGGCCAAAGUAUGUGCUCUCCUUCCAGAUGGUAGUUGCCAUGGUAACACAUUUAUCACCUAUCGCUCAGCACCAUCCUGCCCCAGCAUUUCACCUGAAAGCACCUGGUUCAGGUAUGACUGUUUUAGGACUAUAGAAACUAUAAAAAUAUUAACAUGUAGACUUUGAUAAACUAGACUUUUCUGAGGAUAAGACUGAUGGAGUUUAAUGACAAAAAAAAAAAAAACUUUGCAAUGACUUGGCAAGGAGGCAGUGCAGAUUCUGCUUUAGUAAUACCCAGUGGUACAAAUGAAAAGUUACCAAGCAAACAUAACAGGAGAUUCUGGGAGGGGCUGAUCCCACUACAGAGGCCUUUUUAUAUUUUCAUAUAAAACAUCGUACAGGUGCAAGAACAAACAUUUCAAGUUGAUCAGACCAGGUGAAAGUUUUUAGGAUCUGCUGCUGGUCUAAUCUGGUCUGAUGACUGCCAAAGGUCUUAGUAAUCAAUGAGAAUCUUUGAGGAUCUUCAAGGUGCAUGAAGACUCCGUGAGAAGAAAUACUCAGAUGACACCCCUAGUCAUACCUGACGUUACAUCUGUAGCUCUUUUCUUUAGGGCAAUGACUGAAAGAAUUACACUGUUAUUUGCAUUUGUAGGUAAUCCUGAUAUUGAAGUGUUAGCCACUGUUGUGUGUUUAACACAUUAUACAUUCUCUGAUAUCCAGAGUGUGAAAAUGUUUGUUUUCAUUUGAUUGUAUGCUGGUAUGUGUCCUGUAGUGGGAAAAGAAAGAUCACAAUCAGUGGAUCCCACCUGGAGUUUGUAGAAGCGGUCAUACACAGCGAAGUCCUGCAGGAGGUCAGACUGGCAGGAAACGACAAUAACCAGGUGAAUCUAUGGAAACAGACAAUAUCCUGUCAUACUUUGAUAACCAUGACAUGCUGCACAAUAGUGCAUUUACAAAUUUUACAAUCUUGAGCAUUAGCAUCAACAUUAGCCUAUCAUAGACAACAGUUAGAGAGCCUCAUGGCAGUUUUUUCUCGAGAAUUUAACAUGAAAUAAAAUAAUAUUCAGAGGUCAAACACAAGCAGAAAGAAAAAGGCAUAAACUGGCAUAAACUGCAGUCUGUGGUGAGAGUAGCACAACAUGGAGUCUCAUAUGAAAUCAGAGAGCCUCCAUCUAGCGGUUCUAGUCGGUACUGCAGUUACAUUACAUUUAAAAGACUGUUCCUGCAGGCCUGAGGUCAUAUCAGGGCUUGUACAACAAAUAUAACAGAACAUAUGUCUAUUAUUCAUGCCUCAGAAAUUUUUUGACGCAAAGAGAAAUUGUCUUUAACGCAUCAACUUUGACAGUCCCAGUUUUUAUAGUUUAUCAUCAUAGUGACAUGACUGCAGGUUCGCUGAGUUUACAAGCUCCACAAUGUCAUAUCAUGAAACACUAUAAAGACUUUACAGUGAUUGUAACACAGAAUUGUUUUUACAGGGGCUAAAGACUCUCACCUAUGACUCACCUGCAGCUGAAAAUGCUCAUGCGGCUUUUUCCAGCACUCUGACCCUGAAAGUAGCCAAUAAGAGCUUGAUCUGUCCCACAAAAAUAACCUACUACCCAGACCCUGAGUUUACAAGCUUCACAUCCACAAAAGCAGGAGACAGUGUCCACAUCACUAUACAGGUAGACUUUAUGCACACAUGUACAAAUAUAGGACAUGAAUGCAUAAAUGAUCAGCAUUUGUCUAUGUUUUGAUUUCAGAAAAAGGAAGAUAAACUGGAGAUGACCAAAGCAGAGUUGUCUGUGUGGGGUGUUCAUGAGGGAAAGAAGUACCCCUGCAUCAUGACAAAUAUGCCUGAGAAGAUGGAUUUAAUCCUCUGUGAGAUUCAAAACACACAAGAUGUUACUGAUACAUUUGAGGAGCUGAUGGUAAAUCUUUAAGACACAAUAUGCCAGAAAUACUGUGUAAAACGAAAAUGAAAAUAGUGAAUUUAGAAGCAAACAAUUCUUCACUUAGUUGUCUCUAAACUUAUUUACAAUCCCCAAAAAAUAAAUACAUUUCUUUUUGACAGAUACAGUAUGGAGGCCAAACAGUAAACCUUAAAUUUUCAUUACAUACCUAUACUGUGAUGCUGCUACGCCUUCUGAUAAUACCUUUCAUUAUUCUAGGUGAGUACUCACAGUGGGACCGAGUGAUUAAACUUAUUUCAACACUAGUUUUAAAUGAAAAACAGUCAAACCUAAAUACGAAUAAUAUCUAUUUCCUAUUUUGAAUAAACCUCACGUGUUCUUGAUUUGUCUUUUAGCUAUGUUGAUCAUCUGUUGGUGGCAUCAUAAGAGGUUCACUCCAAGGGUGACCAAGGCGGUGGAAGACCUGGAGCUCAGGGAAGGUCAGCGUACAGGCUUUAGUAAAAUUGUUGCAGUAGUGUUUUCUGUAGAUUUGGACUGUGAGUAUUAGCUGUGUGAAAAAGUAAUAAUGAUCAUGUCUCUUUUUGGUUUACAGACUUCUGCAGAAGAUCCACCGGUGCAUCCUUCCUCUGAGCUCCAGAGGUAAAAUGCAAAGAUCUUCCACCAUCUCAAGAGGAUGGUAGUAGAAAGGACGUGGGAGGACACAUUUUUGUCAUCGUCCUCUGGAAAGUCUUAUUAUUUUUAUAAAGAUGACCAAAACUUUGUACUCAGAACUUUCUUAUCAGAAUUAUUCUUACAUUUAAAGCUGAACUGCUGAUAAAAUACCUGACUGACAAAUGCACCGAAAGUGUGGCCACCUAAAUAUUACAUAGACUAAGUUACACCUGUUGAUAACAGUUAACUCAGAUUGGGGGAUCUAAUUCAGGCACUUAGACAUGAAGUUCUCUUGCUUACAUCCGACCCAACAGUGAUUGUAAUAUUGCAAAUUUUGAAAUAGUCAUGAUGAAGGUUUAAUAAUAAUAAUGCAUCAGAUUUUUAUAGCGCUUUAUGUCAGUGACCUGAAAGUGCCUUACAUUGGAUACAUUAUUCAUUCACCCAUACAGUCAUAGACUGGUGGUGGUAAACGACCCUUGUAGUCACAGCCACCCUGGGGCAGACUGAUGGAAAGGUAGCUGCCAGUGUGCGCCUAUGGUCUCUCCGACCACCACCACAACAUUCACAUUUAUACACAAGUAGGGGACACCCACUGGGUGAAAGGUGGGUUAAGAGUCUUGCCCAAGGACAGGACAGACUAGGGAUAGUGGGGAAUUGAACCACCAACCUUCCAAUUAUUGGCCAACUGCUCUACCCCCUGCUGCCAUGGUUUAGUUUGUCUCCUAGAUAAUGGCAGCCUCAACCUGCGCUGUGCAUACUUAGAUAAACCCGUAUGUCUGCUGUUCUUACAGCAACUAGGGCAGCACCACAUAUCGUUUGAGCAUCGUUAUCAAGAUGUACUUAUGCACGAUAGUGGCAUUGCAGAGCCUAUGAUGUCGAAGGCGAAAGAACUCCUCUAAUUUCAAGGGUUGCUGACUGAGAUACACUGCAUGUGACUCUGCAUGUGCUGUGCAGCGAUCCACCAAUCAGAUUCAUUCGUUACUCAGCUGCCAAUCAGACUACGCUUUUAGCCAUCAAUCAAAAUCAGCGAGAAGGAAACCGCGCCCCUGCAAAUGGCCUGCACAUGGAGCGAGUCGCUGGUGCUGGUGCGUGUACCGAGAAUUAAUUUUGGAACGUUACUUAUUACUGUUUUGCCCAACAAGUAAGAAUCCUAUAGGUUUUAAAUUGUACAUUUUCGUAAACCAUUCUACUAUGAGCGGUGCGCGUUUUGCGAUGUGCAUGCAGGCUGACGUGCGUUUAAUUCUCCGCACAACACCGGUUACAACAACAACGAUUCCAAAAUAAGAAACGAACAAAAAGAACCGAAAAUGAAGACUUGUCGGCAAGAACAAAAAGCAAUGUCACUUACCGUCAAAGAUGAAGACUUGUCGGCAAGAAGGAAAGCAACGUCACUUACCGCCGAAGAUCUUGUUGGCAAAAAGAAAAGCAACGUCACUUACCGCCGAAGAUCUUGUCGGCAAAAAGAAAUGCAACGUCACUUACCACCGAAGAUCUUGUCGGCAAAAAGAAAAGCAACGUCACUUACCGCCGAAGAUCUUGUCGGCAAAAAGAAAUGCAACGUCACUUACCACCGAAGAUCUUGUCGGCAAAAAGAAAAGCAACGUCACUUACCACCGAAGAUCUUGUCGGCAAAAAGAAAAGCAAAGUCACUUAUCUGCAAUUAUUUCUGUUACUAGAAGGACGGCGUCACCAAACACCUUUUCUGUGUCGGCAGUGCCUUUCAUCUGUUGCCACAAUAACGUCCCAGCACAAUAAAAGCUAAAAAUAUCUCUGAGACAGACAGAAGCCAUUCUACUAACAUUUAAAAAAAGGGGUAAGAUAAGUGCAGUUUUACUGUCCUUAAAAUUUCAGCAGUGCAGCACAACAUAAAGUGCUAUUCAGGUAAUCUGGUGAAAAUUCCUCUAUUUUUUUAAUAUCGCAAUAUAUAUCGUAGUGUUGAAAAAAGUUGCAAUGUUAGGUUUUUCCAAUAUCGUGCAACAGCAUGAUAUCAACAGCAACCCAUUAAAAUCUUUGUUGUGCUUUUGGGACAUAUUUCUCCUCUGACUUUUAGUCUUGUGUAAACUACUGUUCAGCAACAAUUUUCAGCAGUGUUUUGCAGUUACAGUGUCACAAACAUUGGCAUUAUUAGUUUGGCUAUAUUUCUCAGUAGCUUGGUGGCAGUGUAGCUGUUUUGUUUUGUUUUGUUUUGUUUUGUUUUUUUGUUGUUUUUUUUUACUGAUCAAGAAAAAGAGACAAAAACAUUCACAUUAAACCGUACACUUAAUUAACCAAAGGGAAAAUUAUCACGAUGUUUUCAAUAAAUUAAAAACCAUAACAUACUUACUAUGAAUGCAACAUUUAAGAGAGAUGUACGGUUAAUUAACAGUGGUGACUUGCUCAUCCAGCAUGAAGUUUCUCCUCAGUCCUAUCAGGGACACACUUGUAAAUUUUAAAUAAAUAGACUUUUUUCAUUGUAGAAGGGGACACCAUUUUACUUUGACAUUACAAAAACAAACACAUUUACUCUGUCCAGAUCUCUGCCUGAUUAUCCCAGGGAAAGAUUUUCUUUGUGACUCAGUAUUGUUGACAUCUUCCUAAAAGAGAAGAUUUCUCAGCUUCAGCUACUCCAAAAGUCACCUGCAAGAAUGCUGACUAAGACCAGAAAGAGAGCCCACAUCACACUAAUUGAUCUUGCACCAACCCAUUUAUCAGAUUGGCUUUUAUCAUAUGAUCCUGAGAGAGCUCUGAGAGGCUCUAAUAGACCGACUGGCAGUGGCUUCAUGUUAGUGCAGAGGGUUGAAUCGGAGUAUUGCUGAGAGGUUGUGCUUUGCAGACGUGGUAAUGCUACUGUAGCCCAUACUGUAAUGUUUUUCUGGUCAUAAUCAUCAGGAUUUAAGACCCUGUUGGUGUUGUAUUUGAAAUAAAAAUGGACUAAAGCCAGGACUUUGUUCCGUGUUGUCAGUUUUUGUAAUCGAGCAAACAGAUCACAUCCUGUUAUGUGCGCUCUACCCACUUACACGAACUGUGGUUUAACUUCGUGACGCUUCGGGGAAAUGUGGUUAAAGUGCUAAACACCUCAACAGUCUCAGAAGUAUCUGUGUUCGGUUUCGUUCCGCGCACGCCCUCCCACUUUCUGCACUUCUCUAUUCAGCUUUUACGCACGAAUCCAGAGCCGCUUUAGGUCAGCAGAGGCUCCUGUGAGCCAUCAGAGAAUGAGUGAUGGUUUGCCGUCUCUGCACGAAGAUGCUCCUGCUGUCUGCUCUGUUGUUCAUUCUCUGGGGAGGAACAGGUCUGUGUCUGGAGGAGGACGGAGGGUUCCACUUCAAGGGAGACAUCCGCCACUACGCCGUAACCAAUAGCACGGUUUAUAUCGCCACUGAAGAGAUGCUGUACCAGCUGAGUCACGACCUGACUCUGGUCCAGAGUCUGACCCAGAGGGGGAUCUUGGAAGACGCUCUUCGGCCGACUGACGCGCAGUUCAAGCGAGUUUCUGGCACGGAUAAGUUUAACGCAACUUUCAGUGUUAACGUGUUGUUGCCGCUUGUCGCUGAUAACAAUCUGAUAACAUGUGGUGUGACUGAUAACGGGUGUGGUUACUGUGAGCUGCUGGACUUGAAGAACAUUUCCAACGUGCUGUACCGGGAACUCAUCCAGGUGGGGUCUCUGAGGCACAGCAGCGCGUCCGUGAGCUUCCUGGUGAGUGUGGAGACUCAAACCCGGACAGAGACUUACAUUGUGGCUGCUGUUCAGCAAUACAAAGACGAACCGACAAAGGACAUCUGUCCCUCUGCGUCAGAGGCGGUGAGCCUCCAUAACACCAAUAACGAUCAGAUAGGACAAAUAUUUUCUAUUCAAAGCGAGGACAGAAAACCUUUUAUCAAAGUUAAGGACGAUGUGGAGUUUGUGGAUGGAUUUCAGUUUAACUCCAUCAUUUAUCUUUUCUCCAAUCUGCCCUCAAAAUAUGAAAGUAACAAAGUCCGUCUGCUUUGGCUUGAUGGCAAAGGAGGUAAAGGUAAGACUGUUCAGUCGUUGCGGGGCGCGACCCUCAGUGUCUCUGAUGGAGGUGAAGACCGCAGACUGAUCGCCUCCUCGGUCAUCCCUGGCGGUCCCCCGGUGCUCUGGAGCGGUGUGUUCAGUGUGGGCGAAGGACAUACAAACACCGAGCUGGUGGUGUUUGACAUUAAUCCUGAUCUUAGUGGAAGGACCGAUGUGGACCCGGACUUCUGCUUUAACUGUGUUGCCAGGAACAAACCAACGGUGAGUGGUCGUCAAAUUAUGUUGCUUUAAUGAGCACUUGUGUCCACAUCCAUCUUUACCUCAAACAUAUAAUUAAUUGAAGAGUUAAUCCAUUUUAAAACAGCUCUCUAAAAGAAAACAAGAUUGUAUCACUUGGAUAAAGAGUUUUUUUCUGCCAGGGAGGUUUCAGCUCAAUUCUAAAAUUGUUUAAAAUGAGUAGAAAAUCAAAAGUAUUAAAACUAUCUCAAAGUGCAGUCUUGUCUCUCCUGACAGCCUUUUUAAUAAAGGAACUAAGUUUUACUAACUGAAGCUGAACUUAUUAAAGUAUUGGUUUAGUUCAUGAAGGUUUAUAAAAGAUAAUGGGUCAGUUUUGAAGCGUGAUAGAGAUUUGUACCCUUUAAUAAUAAAGAAAUAUUUGGCGUCUAAUUACGAAUUUAUUGUGUUUCUCAGCCAAAGACACUGAAGCCAAAGGCAGUGGUCUUCAGGCAGAACUACAUGACCUCUGUGCUGGCAGUGAGACAAAAGGCCUGGAUAGUUUUCUUCAUCGGGACAGGAGAUGGACAGCUUAUUAAGGUGAGUGUACAAAGGGACAUGCAGCAUGGGGACAGCUGCUGUGAAAGUAGGCUUAGUAGGCUACUUUGAAGUUAUAACCACUUAAACAGCAGCGAAUUGAAAUGGUCAACAAAAGCUAGUUAGAAAGCGGCUCAAAUGCAGCUGGUGAUUGUGGUGCAGAUUUAUUCUAGAAAUUUCACACUUCUUUCAAACUUCCAACAAACUCCCUCUGCUUCAUUAGUUGAUCAAAACCUACACUUGCAUUUCAGAGACUCAAGAUUGUUUUGUAUACAUGUCUGGUUGUGGGUCCCCGCAUGCAUGCAUCCCCCUUCUAAAACGGUCAACCCAACUUUCCAUCCCUUAAGGCCAUUUUUGUCAAUGAAUGUGUCAAUAUUACUGCUAUUAUAACAUUAGAAAUAGUACAGCAAUUUUAACGUUUAGGGCAGUGCAUGGAGCCACACAUACACACCUACAUACAUGCCAAACAUUUCCCUCCCCGCCAGCAUCGAUAAUUACCCACCAAACAGCUCUACUUUUCCUUCUCCCUUCUGUGUUGGAUAGGGUAACCAAGGGUGCGCACUUGGAGCUCUAUCAGCUUACUUAAACCUACAUUUACAUUGAUAUUCAUCCUUCUGGGCGUCCAUUCACGCCAUCAUGCCGGCUCAUGUUUCCAAAUGAGGAAGCAGAGCGCAUGAUGUCUGUGUGUAAAAUAGGUGGGUAUAUCAAAGUGGUCACAUGAUGCAAGAAUAAUUAAUUCCCUUGUUGCUUGAUAUGAAUCCUUCAAAAUUAAUGCUCCAUUGAUUUGAGUAAAAACUUUCUGAAAAAGGUUUGAAGGUUAAAAAUGUUUUAAAUGUGAAAAAAUAAGUUUUUUCCAAACUUAUGAAAUUGAUAAUGCCCACUGGGAGGGGCUAGGGAGGUUUAAAAAAAGGCUUCCUGGGCCUUUCUUUUUUGAGACUGGGGAUUUUUGCAUUAACAGUAACUGCCAAACCGACUUUUGUAUUGCUGCUGUGUUUUUGUUUUUUUCCCUUUGAGUGAGAAUCUUGAGCAAUAGUGAAACUCUUUUGCGUAUAUUUAGUUAAAUACUCUGGGUUAGGUGGCAUGUGUGAAAAUGAGAUGUUUUCCUUUUUCAAAAAAAGAAAUGACAUCAGUGAGCAGUGCUGGGGAUGCUGUUGCGAUUUCAGUAUCAUGGCCAAGUGACAUGGACAGCUCAAUCUGAGGGAUUAUCUAACAUGAUAAUUAUCUUUGUGCCUUAGUAACAAUAAAAUGGCUACACAGUUGGUUUCCCACCACAUGCACCGUCAUCAGAACAAAAUAUCUGUCCCAAACAAUAAAAUCCACCAUCCCCCCUGAUUUUUUUACAACUCGACUACUGCUGUUGAGACACAUGUCAUGUUGUAUUCAGAAAAUAUUCAUAACUUCUGGCCUGUUGGCCAUUGACAAUUAAUUCUUAAGAGGAAACCCUGUUUGAAAAACCUGGCUAUUGAGUUACAUUUCCUUUUUCUCCCUUUUAUUUGAUUAGAGAUUGCUUCCUACUAUUAAGAUCUGAAUUGAGUCAAUCAGUCCUAUAUGUGCAGAAGAGUUUUUGAACGUGACUCAGAGGAAACUGUGUUCGCAUCAGAGUGUUGCUUUGGCCACAGACCAGCACAGAAAUGAAACUUAACCACUUAAGAAAUCCCACAGCCAUUUUCAGAGGCUGCAGUAAUUUUCAGAGUAAAUUCAGCAGCAGACAAAUUCAGUCUCUGAGAAAUAUCACUGAAGUGCCUUCUUGUUUUCAGCUUGCUGUGGACAAGAACUACCAGACCAUCUGUCCAAAGGUGCUCUACAAAACCAGUGAUGACCGUCAAGUGUUUUCAAAACUACAUCUGGAUCAGGUGGAUCUGAAACAUGUUUAUGUGCCAUUUCAAAACCAGGUAGGUGCAAGUUUAGGUACAGUACUACAUUUUAGACCUUACAGUGGAUGUAUGCUGUGCUUUUAUGUCCUGCUAAGUUGCUGAUUUUGUUUAUUUAGAUCAAUCAUGUUCCUGUGUCAAAGUGCAGCACAUACAAAACUGUGCAGGAUUGUUGGUCUGCACAGGAUCCAUACUGUGUCUGGUGUGGCCCUGAAAGAAGGUUAGAAACAUCAUCUGCAGUGAACAUCAGUGAAGGAAUUUAAAACUUGGAUAAGACUUACCCUUUUUUCUUCUCCUAGCUGUACAUUUGAAGAAAACUGCCAGGGCUCAGACUGGUUGUCCAUUCCUGAUGAUUCUCAGCACAAAAUGGUUUCCUAUCAAGUUACGCAGGACCUGACUGGACAGGUAGAGAUUAGGGUUAAGUUCUGAGUUAUGAUGAGUUGUGGCUCUCUGAUAGUCGAUUGUUUAUUUACUCCUAUCUGGAUAUGUUUCAGAUCACACUUAACAUCCAGGUGCAUGUGACAGCGGGCGAAGAGGUGCUCUCUAACUUUGCCUGCCACUUCUCUACAAGUUCCACUGAGCGCUUUAAAAUGGAAAACCCGCGUCCACAGUUUCCACAUUGUUCUUCCACCUUUGAAGCAAGCACACUUCCUGCUGGAGGUCAGUCAUUUAUGAUAGAUAAUAAUAAUAUGAUUAAAAUUUAAAAAAUGUAUGAUUGUUAUAUUUAGUAUAUAUUUUUUUAUUACAACAGGACUGCCUGUAGUUGUGAAAAUGAGACUUGGUUCAUCACAGUUGACUGAGAGGCUGAACCUGCUCAACUGUACGGACAUCAGCGGACCACCAACACCUGUCCUGUAAGUCCUCCACUGUUUUCUACUAAUCUAAGCUGACAGAAAAACACAUAAAGUCCUUAUUUUGACCAGACUGGGAGAGCUAUCAAGCAAACAAAAACUGGUUCCAUGUAGACAAAUCAUGUGGAGAGAGACCGUGGAUGUAAAAGUCUUUAAUGGAGUUUAACCAAACUUUUGAGGACUGACUGUCCAUCUGAGAAAACAUGGUUUUGAUUUCAGGGGUCUUCAACAAAUCUGUCCUAUACCUUUAACCCAGAAAGAUAUUAACCCAAACCCGACUAAGUAGUGUUGAUCCCUUAAAGCUCUGUUUUGUUUUCAGAUGCCAAACGUGUAUCAAGGCUGGAUGUGGCUGGACCAUGAACAGAUGUUCUUGGGCAAAUCAAGGCACCGGGAAUGUAAUUAUGCAUGUUUUUAUUCACUGAUAUAACAAUAACUUUCAGAUGGACUGUGCUGAAAUAGACACCCACAGAUCUCUAAUUUGUCAUAUUUUUGAUUGCUACUUAAAUGAAGACUGCAAACACAUGAGACACAAAUUAGUGUUACUUAAAGAAUCAUUUUCAAUGUAGUUUAACAGCUACUGUCACCAGCGUGAGAGGUAGAAGCAGUAGAAGAGGUGGUAGAUGGUAUCCAAAGUAGAAGUGUGUUAAAUCUACCAAUAAAAAAUAAUAGUCAAAGGUUUUAUGGAUGAAUUUAUUCAGCCAAGUCUGACCUUGGCUAGCAUAUCCUUACCAAACCUGGGUUUAACCAGCUUAGAUCAAAGUGGGAGCAAGACACAGCAGUACACUUUGUUGUUUAAGGCUGUGACACUGACAGCAGGACUGAAGACACUUUUAUAAUUUUAUGACUAUUUGUCUCUCAAGCUGCUAAACUUACUUCUCACUGCUCUUUCUGCAGGACAGUGUUUGCCAAAUGAUGAAGUCAUCAACAGACUGCCCUGUGAGUCCACCAUUUUUGCAUUCAGACCACAUUCACAUUCAGUAAAUUCAAAUAUUAGCAGAUGGUAGUGUAUAAAAUCUGAAUAAAACUGUUACCUUUUGUUGGUUUGACUGUCAGAGACCACAGAUAUCCUCCAUCACUCCCAGUGUUGUGUCUUUCCACGGCAGAAACAACGCAGUGUUGUCUGGUAGAAACCUCUGUUCUGUGAUCAGAGUGAGGAUCCAGGCAGACCUGGACUGCACACCACAAGAGUGAGUCAGUUUAUGGGUGACUGUAUGGGAUUUAUUCACACUUAAAAAUCACAUUUCAAAAGCUUCAAUGAUACAAAAAAGGCAGUCAGAUUGAGAAUUCACACAUUUUACUAUUUCAAAAUAGAUCACAGUUACUUCGGGACCUGCUUGAAACUAAAACAGUGUAUUUGCCCUUUAAAUUGAAGAUUUUCAAGCUAAUUCAUGAUUCCUCUCUAAUGUUUGAAUGAGUCUUUUAAACAGGGUUGCUAAAGAGGUGUCUUAAGAUGUUGCCUGGUUUUGAGACACAAAUGUUUGACAGUUUGCCCUGACAAAUCUGUCUUUGUUCUUAUAUUUUCUUUAAUUUUUUUGUGUUGUGAUAUUUUGUGAUCUGUUCCAACAGCUAUCAACACAUAAAAGCAGAAAAAGUUUGGUACCAGAGGGUUUCUCACAUCUAUUUUGUAGUAUAGUUUUUGGCUGCAUGGUGUUAUCUAACGGCUUAAACAGAAUCCAUUAGUAAUUUUCCUCUGAAGCUGAACCAUUGUCGGAUAAUAGAAAAUGGAUCGCAGGAUCCAAUUUCAUAGUUCCAAAUGUAAUCUCAGUUAGUUGUGUUCAGCUUUGACAUCUUGUCAGUUAAAACAGAUAUUAUAUUGUUUGUGCCAGAUAUUAGUAGUAUGCUUCUUACUUUGGUCUAUUUUUCAAAAAGUAUGUUGUAUAGAUGACAUUUGUAUAUUCUUGCAUUAAAACAGAAAUAACCUAAUAGUAUGUUGUUGUUCAUUUUACUUUGAAAGUAUCCUCUCAAACGAAUAUGAUUGUUUCCUGUAAAUUCAGACGCUUUUAUUCUGAAAAGAAAUGUGGAGACCAAGGAAUAAGAGAAACUGUAAAUUCAGUUUGAUCAACGUAAUUAAAAGAUCAUUGAAAUUUUGAUUUGAUAGAGGCACAAGGUUUGUACACAUAUUUCGUGUCUCGUGUAUACAAAAAAAAUGAUUUAAGAAUAUUUUUUUAGUUUUUGUUAAGAAGCAAUUAUGUGAGGGUGUUAAAUCUAGCAAGAAUGCUACAACCCUUAUAUUGGUUGUGUUAAAAGCAAAAAGCGUUUAUUUACAUUUGUAACCUGGAUUGAGACACACUAUCAAUUACUGUUUUUUUUUUAAAUCCCUUAAUUUUUAAGUUGAAGUGUGUAUUCUUGAGAUUGCUGAAAUUUGUAUUUAUACUAUAUGGUUGACAAUAGGCAACUUAAUAGGUAAUGUAAGUUUAUUGGCUAAAGUAGUUUGAGGAUGUUGAGGAUUGUCAAAACACAAACAUUUAAUAUAUAAAUAUUAAAUUGACUUUACUUUAAAAGAAUUUGUAGUGCUGAAAAUUACAUUUUAUCUUCUGUGAAUCUCACUGCUUCAGUUUCUCUUUGUCUCACUCUGUGCACUCUGGUUAGGUCUCCUGUUUGGAACAACACUGGUGAAACUCUGACGUUCCACAUACCCAGUGCAAAAUCUAAAGGUGUGGCCAAAGUAUGUGCUCUCCUCCCAGAUGGUAGCUGACAUGGUAACGCCUUAAUCACCUAUCGCUCAGCACCAUCCUGCACAAAAAUUACACCUGAAAGCACCUGGUUCAGGUAUGACUGUUUUAGGACUAUAGAAACCAUAAAAAUGCUAACAUAUAGACUUUGAUAAACAAGAUUACCCUUGACAUAUCAAGACAUUACUGAUGUAGUUAAAUACUACAAAAAAUCCUCACUUCUUGGAGCUCUAUUUUGCCUAACCAUCGGCUUACUGUACAUUAUUUUACUUUUUAAAUUUGGCGAAUAACCAACUUUAAAAAUACCUUUACACUAAAAAUCGAUUUCAAGAUUAUUUCAUUAAAACAUAUAUCCUUCAUUUGCUGUAAACCCCCAAUCUAAAGUUUUGUGCACUUCUUCAAAGUAAUUUUGAUAGUUAUAUUGAGGAUAUCCUUCAUGUCUACCAAUCCUUAAAUAACAUUUUACCAUUGUGAACAGGAAGAGGUGACAUCCUAAACUAUAUGUCCUGUAGCUCUUCUCCACAUACGGUGCUAUAAGAGUGCUGUGUGUAAUCUGAUUAUUUCUAGUGACACAUUCUUAUUUGAUUGCUUACUGCUCUGUGUGCCGUAGCUGGAAAAGGAAGAUCACAAUCAUUGGAUCCCACCUGGAGUUUGUGGAAGCCGUUAAACACAGUGGAGUCCUGCAGGAGGUUGGAUUUCCAGGACACAAUACCUAUCAGGUUGGUCUGUAAUAAUCAGAAAUAAUCAAAAUAUGGGAGGUUAAAAUAAUUCAACUGAUUAGUUUUCUUUAAAACGGUAGUGAACAAAAUGUGUACGAGUUAGUCUACUUGUUUUUAUUUUGUGUAAUUAUUCAGGCAUAUGUAAAGGCCUUUGCUUGAUCUUACAAAACAGUGGAAGUCAGAUAGUACAGGGUUUGACAAAUACAAUCACAGAUUAUACUGUUUUCAUUGCAUCCAAGAAGCUAUUCAUGAACAGUCGGCCCCUCCAAAUGGCUCCAAUUAUAGUCGUGCAUGAUUUCUGAUCGGUAUGUGUAUCAUGUAACAAGAUGUAAGCUCUCUAUAACGUGACACAAAAUGUUUUUGACAGGCACUCAAGAAUCUCACCUACGACUCACCUGCAGCUGAAAAUGCUCAAGGGACUUUUUCCAGCACUUUGACCCUGAAAGUAGCCAAUGAGAGCUUGACCUGUCCCACAAAAAUAACCUACUACCCAGACCCUGAGUUUACAAGCUUCACGUCUACAAAGAUAGGGGACAGUGUCCACAUCACUAUACAGGUAAUGCAAGAUUUUCCAGCACACAUGCGCAAUGAGGAGAUUAAAAUUUGAAUAUCAGCAAUUUUUUUCUGUUCUUGUUUCAGAAAAAGGCAGACAAACUCGAGAUGAGCCCUGAAGAGAUAUCAGUGUGGGGUAUUCAUGAAGGACAAAAAUACCCCUGCGAAAUGGAAGAGAAAGGAGCCAGUGGCAACACCGAGUAUUUCAUUUGUGAGAUUAAAAAUUCAAGCAUCACAGAUUUUCAAGAAUUGGAGGUAAGUUUUUAGUCGUGCCACUCCAAAUUAAACCAUGCUUUUGAUAGAUAAAAUAUACAUGUGUCUCUAAAGCUUUUACAGAAACACAGACUUCCUUUUUGAAAUCCUUUCUUAUACAGUUUGAUUGUUUCUUUGUCCCAGAUAAAGUAUGGAGACAAAACAGAAAUCCUUGAAUCUGCAUCAUGGUCUCCUCUCUUCCUGAUACUGCUUGUCUUACAACAGAUCCCAUUAAUUAUUGUUGGUAAGUACCCUUUCAUGGUUAGACGGCCUAUUUUGGUCUUACAGCAGUUUUAAAAACACUGACAAAUCUGGAAAAAACUGUGUUGUCUGCUUGGUUUUAUCUCCCAGUUGUGGGGAUCCUUUAUCUAAGCAACAAAAGAAGCUGAAUGUAAAGAUGAACAAGAUCAUGGAAAACCUGGAGCUCAACAUCAGGACAUCACCUCUCCUGUGUGCUGGCCCAUCCAGGACUGUGUCAGACUCUUCUUAUUCUCCCCCACACUGAGUCAAUUUUUUUUGCGUUGAAUGUUUUGCCUGUUGAUGCUCUUUGACGCUCAAAUUUUGCCUCCCACUAACACUCUAAAAGCUUGCAGUAACCACCUUUUUUUCUCUUUCAAAAUUUUUUCCUUUUAUCAAUGUAUCUGAUGGCAAACAAAUGCUACCUGGAGUGGCUAAAUUGUGUUAAUAUGUCAAUUGUUUGAAGUACUUGAAUGUUGUAUGUUAAUAAACAUUUUUUCGGUCAACA